CUUGGGUACACACCUCUCUCAAAGACAGAAAUAUCCAUGCUGGGCAAAGGUUGGGAGAGGCUAUUGAAAUAGGUUUCCUGAUUCUGCCCUGAUGCCAAGAGUCACCUUUUCUGACCCUUCUGGUGAUACUGAUGCGCUUAGGUCCAUUGCGCAGUCUCCAAGACAUACUGCAAUUCCAUCAGUAUGCCAGGAAAGUUUGUGCCAUAACGGAGGGACUUGUCAUUUCAUCAUUCUAUCUAAUGGUGCUGCAUCAUUUCAGUGUGACUGCCCAUUACAUUUCACUGGACGAGCCUGUGAGAAAGAGUUUGAAGCCCUCUGUAAAUAUCAACUUGAUAAUGUUUCAGAGUUCCUUCUGCGGCAGGUGAGUGGGAAGAAUUAGUCCAUCUUUCAGGGAGAACCUGAAUUGUAAGACUGAAGUCAAUUGCUGCAAAUCAUGAUGAGUCUCCGGUGAAUCUCAACAAGUGCUAUUUGGUGACAGUGAUGAAGCCAAGGUUUAGUAUUCUAUUCACCACAUCACACUUACCUUUGUGAAGGAAAACAGGUACUUCCAGCUAUGGCCUGCUGGUAUUAAGAAUGCAUGGAAUGAUUUAUUCUCCCAAGACUGGCUUUUUGUCUGUAGCAUAAACCUCCUGCUCCUUUUUGGAUUUCCUGUAACCCCCUUGGUAUAGAAAAGUCUCCUUUCAGCCUAAAGCUUUCUGCCAUUAUUCCAAGACCUUUUUGACAAACAGAAACUACUUCCUAGUCUUAUAAGCUAACAAAUAUCAAACUGUAGAAAUAGUACCUGGGUAAAGAAUAAUGCAAAUGUGAGGAAGGAAAUAUAGCAAGCAGAAAAGGAAUCAAUUAUUAAAGUAGAAUUGUAAGUGAAAAAUGACAAGGUCUCAGAUUCUAAACAACUACAUGCAUAUGUAGAGAGAGCUAUAGAUAGGCCCUUUGUGAUUAAAGAGGAUACUACUGAUGGGGAGAGCCUAUGUAAGCAUGCAGAUGUUCAAAUUGUAUACAAAUAAAGGCA
Molecule: long non-coding RNA, 1009 nt
Organism: Ornithorhynchus anatinus (platypus)
Lineage: Eukaryota; Metazoa; Chordata; Mammalia; Monotremata; Ornithorhynchidae
Exons: 3
Source: RefSeq, a predicted model, not a curated record